AUGUACACGGCUUUCCAGGUGGACGAACAUACGUUCAAGGUGUGUUCUAUCAUGGGCAUGUCGGAUUCAGAACCUGAAGACCCAGACAAGGGAAGGAACUACUUUGUGAAGGCAUCAAUAAGCGAAGGCGAAUACUACUGCCAAUGCUGCAAAUUCGAAUGGGACGGGAUUGUGUGCUGUCACAUUCUAAAAGUAAUGGACUUGAACGCGGUGACACGAAUGCCCCGCCAUUUCAUAAGGCGGCGAUGGACUUGGGACGCUGAGGACGCAUUGGCGCCGCAAACAUCAAACACAAUUUUGGCCGUGCAUGACGAGAGACCAGAGUCAACCAUGGAAGCCGUGAGGCACGUUGUGUUGACAAAGAACUAUGCUGAACUAAUUGAUGAAGCGUGCAAGAGUGAUGAGACAGCAAAGGUCGCAGAAAAACACAGGAAGGCCCUCAAAAGAGAGCUUGAUGAGAUCAAGAAGAGGAAAGCUGAGGAAGCCUUACACAGGUUCCCCCGCACAGCAAGUGUGCCUUCGUCCACAGGGCCAUCAUCUAAAAACUCGGAGGUAGGAUCUGGAACAGCAAGCACACAAACACAGGUUAGGAACCCGCCCCGUUCCUUCACAAAAGGGCGUCCAAAAGAGAUAAGAUACAAAUCGGGAUUGGAGAUUCAAGCAAAACAUAAGAAACCAAAGAAAGGGACGGGCAAUCCGUAA
This 702-nucleotide ribosomal RNA is filed under the name Triticum aestivum (bread wheat). RNAcentral describes it as "partial small subunit ribosomal RNA". The record is from RNAcentral. Lineage: Eukaryota; Viridiplantae; Streptophyta; Magnoliopsida; Poales; Poaceae.